Molecule: ribosomal RNA, 301 nt
Filed under: uncultured bacterium
Lineage: Bacteria
Description: partial 16S ribosomal RNA
Rfam family: Bacterial small subunit ribosomal RNA
Source: RNAcentral
CAGCAGCCACGGUAAUACGUAGGGUGCAAGCGUUAAUCGGAAUUACUGGGCGUAAAGCGUGCGCAGGCGGUUAUAUAAGUCAGAUGUGAAAUCCCCGGGCUCAACCUGGGAACUGCAUUUGAGACUGUAUGGCUAGAGUGUGUCAGAGGGGGGUAGAAUUCCACGUGUAGCAGUGAAAUGCGUAGAUAUGUGGAGGAAUACCGAUGGCGAAGGCAGCCCCCUGGGAUAACACUGACGCUCAUGCACGAAAGCGUGGGGAGCAAACAGGAUUAGAUACCCGCGUAGUCCCUGUCUCUUAUAA